UCUUUGUCUACGGGAGAAAGCUCAAAAUAAACAAAAGAGAGAGCAGCUGGAACACUUGUGGAAGGACAUGGGCAGCGUGUGUGUGCAGGGCAGCACACUGGCAGGACCUGAUGCUUCUGCAAUGGGUCCCUCUGAGCUAAUACUAACAUGAGGAACUCUCGAUGAAGAGCAAGAAGAGAGGGAGAGUGACGCUGAUGGCAUUGACCACGAAGGUAAGGGAAUGAGGUCUAAAAGCUGCCUCUCAAGAAAUCCCCUCUAUAUUUCAUGUCCUGGAUGGACUGUAAGGAGAGCCUAGAAAACAAGCAAACAUUCAGUCACCUGACGUGUCAGAAUCUGUAGCAGAAGCUCAGCUGCAAUGGUCAGUGCAGGGAUAUCACUCUGUAACCUUUGUGAAAGUUCAAUUGUAAAUUUUCUAUUCAAGUAAUUAAUAGGUGUAUAACACACAUAAACCAGAGAACUCGUUAGGCUUGGGGCAUGCAGUGACCUCUGAACCUGAUUGAUGCACAGAUGUGUCCAUCAUCUUUUUGGCCUUACAGUUUCUGCCCCUGGCUCUCUUCCCUUUUCCUGUGACUGUGGUCUUGGAGCAAUCUUCUAAGUUGUUACAGUGUGAUUUUUCUCUUCUAUAGCUCACAGACUUAAUCUUCAUUCUUUCCCUGUUCCACUGAUGGGUAGGAUCACUUAUUUCCUUUGCCCUGUAAUGUAGCUGAAGAUGGAAUAGACUUUCUAUGUUGCUUUGGCUAUCCUGAUUCUAGCUUUUUUUCAGAAACACAAGUAGAACAAGUACUGAAAUAGCGCUGAACUUCAGCAGCAGCGGGGACUGCGCAGGAGAAGGAGGGUGGGCAGCGGGCCUGGGGCAGGCAGGGGGAUGGGGGUGGGGGCGGGCACUUAAAAGAUUUCGGCCAGGGAGCUGAUCUCAGCCAGCACCCAGUCGGGGCAGUCUAAGUCCCCGUAGAAGCAGAACUGCUGCGUGGGGAGAGGCGGUCAGAGGCGCACUGCCGCUCUGCGUCCUCCCCGCUCCCCGCCGCCGACUCCCGGCCCACCACGUCGCCGCUGCUCCACGGUCCCCCAUGCCGCACAGUCCGCCUUCGCGAUCCGGAACCGCCCCGUGUGCCGGUGGGGGGCUCCCCGAGGGGCUCUGCAGGGGCCUUGGGGCCGGGACCCCGGGGGUGCAGCCCGACCAAGGGGCGGGGCAGGGGACGGGGUCCCGGGAGCGGGACCCGGGACGGCCACGGACCCGCGGGAAGGGCGCCUCCGACACGGCCCUAGUCCCUCCUCCUGACCACCCGAGCACCUCCCGCCACCCCGCCGGCUCCAAGCCCCGCCAAUCCGGGCCCGAGGCAGAGUCUGGCCCGCCAAUCCCGGGCCGCCUUUCUCGGCGCCGUCCAAUCACAGCCCGCCUUUUCAAUCCGGCAGCGGUCCCCCAAGCUCUGCCCGCUCAGCCGCGGCGCGGCCCCUCCGAGCGGCACCGUCCCCCCGUUCCCCUCAGGCGCUGCUGGGACCACGGAAGGGCGGUGGGAGCUCCGCGGUCACGUCCCGUCCGGGAGCUCUCCCAGGAGAAGGAGAGGGAGGCGGGGAGCGGGCGGGAGGGGCUCCGGGAGCGGGGCCUGCGGGACCAGCGGGGUUCUCGGGAACGGGCGGGCGGGGAUUGGCUGGGCUGGCACGAGGGGGGCGGGGCCGUGCGGGCCGCGGGCUAUAAAUAGCGGAGGGGGAAGCGGGGGGGGGGCAGUUCGGCGGCGGAGGUGGAAGCGGCGCUGGAGCGGCGGGAGCCGGGACGAGAUCGGCGGUGAGCUGGGGCGGGACUCCCGCGGCUGCCGCUCCCGACGUGCAGCCCGGGCCUGCAGAGAUACCCAGGAGCAGAUUUAGGCAGAGGCAGCAGAAAGCUGAGAACGUGGAGCUCAGGCAGCAGAGCUGGUGGAGACAUAAAGACGGUAGGACUGUGGGCAGAACAAGGGUGGGGCUGGAUUAGGGAGCAUGGACCUGGCAUAAGUACUGCAGGGAUGGAGCUGGGAUAAAAAUAGUCAGGCCUGGCCUGGAAUGUGGGCUUGAGAGCUGGGGUGGAAAACUCAGACCUUUAAAAAAAGAAAGAUGCUAGGAUUGGAACGUGCAGCAGCUUUACCGGGAGCUGACAGCAGAGCUGGCAGAGAAAUAAAGGUUGUGGGUCUGGGUAUGGGAUAGGGAGAGUGGUGCUCGGAAAGGGACUGUUGAGCAGGGAUAGGGACUGUGGC
Molecule: long non-coding RNA, 2225 nt
Organism: Pseudopipra pipra
Lineage: Eukaryota; Metazoa; Chordata; Aves; Passeriformes; Pipridae
Exons: 3
Source: RefSeq, a predicted model, not a curated record